CCUACGGGUGGCAGCAGUGGGGAAUAUUGGGCAAUGGGCGCAAGCCUGACCCAGCAACGCCGCGUGAAGGAAGAAGGCUUUCGGGUUGUAAACUUCUCUUCUGAGGGACGAAGAAAGUGACGGUACCUCAGGAAUAAGCCACGGCUAACUACGUGCCAGCAGCCGCGGUAAUACGUAGGUGGCAAGCGUUAUCCGGAUUUAUUGGGUGUAAAGGGCGUGUAGGCGGGAAAGCAAGUCAGAUGUGAAAACUCAGGGAUCAACCCUGAGCCUGCAUUUGAAACUGUUUUUCUUGAGUGCUGGAGAGGCAAUCGGAAGUCCGGGUGUAGCGGGGAAAUGCGUAGAUACACGGAGGAACACCAGUGGCGAAGGCGGAUUGCUAGACAGUAACUGACGCUGAGGCGCGAAAGCGUGGGGAGCAAACAGGAUUAGAUACCCCAGUAGUC
Molecule: ribosomal RNA, 443 nt
Filed under: uncultured bacterium
Lineage: Bacteria
Description: partial 16S ribosomal RNA
Rfam family: Bacterial small subunit ribosomal RNA
Source: RNAcentral